UAGAAUGCGAUAUGCAAUGUGAAUUGCAGAACCAUGAAUCAUUGGAUCUUUGAACGCAACUUGCACUGGUAUAACCAGUAUGCUUGUUUCAGUGUGCCUACAAAAAUAAACAAACAUAAUGUGAGAGAUAAUUCUCUUAUAAAAUAAAUGCUCCUGUAGCAGUCACAAUAAUUUGUGAACUAUAGUGUAGUAUAUAUAAACUUUUAUUUGCACCUGAGAUCAAGCAAGAUGACCCGCUGGACUUAA
RNAcentral lists this unclassified non-coding RNA (246 nucleotides) under uncultured fungus. RNAcentral's name for it is "sequence contains ITS1". The stretch from base 1 to 97 matches the Rfam family "5.8S ribosomal RNA", at positions 49 to 154 of the family's 154-position model. Lineage: Eukaryota; Fungi. The record is from RNAcentral.